GAUGAACGCUGGCGGCGUGCCUAAUACAUGCAAGUCGAGCGAACGGACGAGAAGCUUGCGUCGCUGUUGUUAGCGGCGGACGGGUGAGUAACACGUGGAUAACCUACCUAUAAGACUUGGAUAACUUCGGGAAACCGUAGCUAAUACCGUAUAAUAUUUUGAACCGCAUGGGUCAAGAGUGAAAGACGGUCUUGCUGUUACUUAUAGAUGGAUUCGCGCUGCAUUAGCUAGUUGGUAAGGUAACGGCUUACCAAGGCAACGAUGCAGAGCCGACGUGAGAGGGUGAUAGGCCACCCGGGAAGUGAGACACGGUCCCGACUACUACGGGAGGCAGCAGUAGGGAAUCGUCCGCAAUGGGCGAAAGCCUGACGGAGCAACGCCGAGUCAGUGAUGACGGUGCUCGGAUCGGAAAGCUCUGUUAUUAGUGAAGAACAUCUGUGAAAGUAAAUGUGGCGAUCUUGACGGUACCUAAACAGAAAGCACCGGCUAACUACGUG
RNAcentral lists this ribosomal RNA (497 nucleotides) under uncultured bacterium. RNAcentral describes it as "partial 16S ribosomal RNA". It matches the Rfam family "Bacterial small subunit ribosomal RNA", at positions 28 to 507 of the family's 1533-position model. The record is from RNAcentral.